Molecule: ribosomal RNA, 484 nt
Filed under: uncultured bacterium
Lineage: Bacteria
Description: partial 16S ribosomal RNA
Rfam family: Bacterial small subunit ribosomal RNA
Source: RNAcentral
AUUGAACGCUGGCGGCAUGCUUUACACAUGCAAGUCGAACGGCAGUGCGGGCUUCGGCCUGGCGGCGAGUGGCGAACGGGUGAGUAAUGCAUCGGAACGUGCCCAGUAGUGGGGGAUAGCCCGGCGAAAGCCGGAUUAAUACCGCAUACGACCUGAGGGUGAAAGCGGGGGACCGAAAGGCCUCGCGCUAUUGGAGCGGCCGAUGUCGGAUUAGCUAGUUGGUGGGGUAAAGGCUUACCAAGGUGACGAUCCGUAGCUGGUCUGAGAGGACGACCAGCCACACUGGGACUGAGACACGGCCCAGACUCCUACGGGAGGCAGCAGUGGGGAAUUUUGGACAAUGGGGGCAACCCUGAUCCAGCCAUGCCGCGUGCGGGAAGAAGGCCUUCGGGUUGUAAACCGCUUUUGUUCGGGAAGAAAUCCUCUGGGCUAAUACCCCGGGGGGAUGACGGUACCGGAAGAAUAAGCACCGGCUAACUACGUG